AACAGCGUCAGUUCCAAUGCAAGCACUUCUUACCUGUGCGAGGGCUUCAGGAGAAGAAGCUGAACACUGUCAGAACCGUCUCUGUUACAGGUUUUCCAAAAGAGCCAUUUUUGCUUUUUUUUUAAUUAUUUUGAAAUUUAGAAAAUGCUGUUUUCUGUCAUUAAAUGCAAAUGACUGCAUUAGCAGCAGGGGGGUUGGACUCGAUGAUGUCUGGAGUUCCCUUCCAACCCCUACAAUUCUGCGAUUCUGUGAAUAUUCUGAAAACUCUUGCAUUUCCCCUAGGUUUUUUAAUUUGGGCCAGCUGCUUGCUUUCUUUCCCACCCCUCAGUUUCUUCCUCUGCAAGACCUAGUGCACAGAGACCCCGAGAUUCCAGGUAAUUAAGUCUAAAGGUGCUAAUUUUCAGUCUCACAAUCUGCCCAACAUUGCUUUUUUUAGCUUUAUAAGGAGGAGAAGACAGUCGAUUACUAUUUUACCAUUUGAUAUUAAGGUGGUUGUAACAAUAUGGAAAGCUGCCGCCGAUGUAAUGCUGCCUUGACUUGCUGCGGGCGCAAGUUGUUUGCUCCAAGCACUGUAGCUGAUCUGCCUUCACACAGCUGGGAUGGUACUGAAGAAGCUCAACAGUUGAGUCCCAGUGGUUAUCCAGACUGUAAGCUUAUUAGCAAAACAUGUUAUCUGAAGACCAGGACUGCACUUGGAAUACAUCACCAUGUAAAUCUCAGGAGAGGAAAAGUAAGAAGAAAAGGAACCCCAUCUUUCCAGACUGUUAGAUUUGACCCUACGAGCCUGCAGAGGCAUGUUGCUGAUGGAUGCCAUGAUAGCCCAGUUAGUCAAUCAGCAUGGCAUGACCAGGUUUUCCAAAUUAUUUAUUUGUACAGAACAUUGGUAUAAAGAAGCAUUUUUUUUUUUAAUUUUACCCUAACGUGAUGACGAGGCCUUGCCCUAACUACUCCCUUUUCUUUCUCGAUUAUGUGGAACGUGUGCUGGGUCCAUGACGUUCCCUGGCUGAGCCAAGCCAAAGCCAACUGAGCUCGACUGUUUGCAGUAGGCUCUGAUGCACAGCCCGCUGGAGCUACUGGAACUCCUGCUGCCUCCAGUGGGUUCUGGAUCAGGCCGCUAAGGGUUUUUGUAUUCCUGUACAACAGCCUCAGCAUAACGGAAUCAGAACAACGGGUUUGUGGUUUACCCCGCGAUGUGAUUUUGUAACGCUGUGGGUGUACUCUGACUCAGUGGCUGCUUUCUCCUGUCACCCCCAGCCUUUAGCUCUUUACAUUGGAUUUUUCACCACCUGGGACCGAUUUCAAUCCCCUAAUUAUUAGAAGACGCUUUCGUUCCGUAGCAUCCAUAUUUUUCUUAAUGAUUUCCUCUUGUUUUGUUGUCUUUCCUUGCUGAACUCCCUUCACUCAGCCCUGGUCCUGCAUUAAAGUUGCACUGAUCCUAAUUUCCUCUUUAAACUCCAUGUAUAUAAGAAGUUUUUCUUUUUUUAUCUCACAAAAGCUCUUUUGAAAUAGAUGUUCUUUUUCAUCCCUCGUUAUUGUUCCUCCAGCAAGUCACCUCGUUCCAUUGUGUUCUGCUUUGUUCGCAUCUUAUUUUUAAUUCAUCCUCUCUCCUUGCUAUGAAUAGUCCAUGUAUCGGCGCGGGGAUGGACAGACUUCUCUACACUCACUCAUUUACGUAGACUUGCUGAUCCUGAGUGAUCCCUCAGUGAGCAGCCUUAGGUUGCACAAUGGAUGGCCUCUAAAUUACUGCAGUUUCUCGAUACCUUACGAAAACGUAGAGUGGGACGACUCGUUUUUAUUAGCUGAAAAUUCUACGAAAGAAUGUAUUUCUUUUCGUCACACGAAUAUUCCGUGUUCAAAGGAGUGAGUGGUGAGCAUUAACACCGAUGACGACGUCGCUGGUGACUGUUGCUCCAUUUGUUUUGAUUGUUACUACACCUUCAAGCAACCUAUGCCAACUUUCACUUACUCUCCUUGCACUAACAUAAAUCUGGACUGAAUACCCAGAAAUGCAUGGGAGUUUUACAGGUGCACGUGAGCAAUGAAUCAUGCCUGGCAGGAAUACACCUAUUAUUAUUCAAAAAAAAAAAAGAAAAAAAAGAAAAAAAAUCUCCCAGAAAUCUGUACCUGUUAAAGCAUAUGCCUGGAAGUAGCAUGUAUUUUCUGUGCCUUGCUAUUGUAUUUUUAAUGUGCUUUUUUUCACUUUUCUUUCUGCCAGAUUCUGGUUUUGUCACUGAAGUCAGUGAUGCACAGCCUGUCCUUAAUUACUUCCGCAUAAAACUUCACUCUUAUCAGUGAAAUGAGUUGAUUUCUUCAGCGCUUACACUGAUGUAAUUUGUACAUGGCGGAAUCUGGCCGCUGGUUGUGAUGACCCUGAGGAAUGGCUGUUCUGUGAACUCCUCUUUGUUUUUUUUGGAUACUAUUCCAGUGGUCUGAUAACGUCUCGUGGGACUUUGAGUAGCUUGCCUUAUUAUUGGGUAUGAUACAACUGUCAUUGGGAAGUGGAAUAAAAUCACUUUCACUUCAUUUCCAUUGUGGUAUGUGGGACGUUUCUUUCCUGUUUCUGUUGUCCCUCCUGCUUCAAACAGCGAUUUCCCUUUCUCAGACUUAUUGGGUGAUUUCAGAAUUAAGUCACUGGAAACCAACACGGGAUGUCUGCCCUACGUUGUGCCGUUCAACCCAUCUGUGCUGUAGCUAAAACGUGCAGAAGCUGUUUGAGGUUUGAUGGACCCAGACAAAGUGAGGUAUUCAACAUCUUCAUCCAGUAAGAAGAGGAAGUAACAUCUCACUGCAUAAACCAUCAAGGCUUUGGGUGCCAGCAGGAGCUGUGGAAGGCAAGAUGCUGUUGUCUGACUGAGAAAUGAAUGCCUUCUUUAUCUUUUGAGAGCCAUACAGACACAUGUCUGUACGUAUGACAGGCACUGGGAAUUACAUGUCCUUCAUCGUCAUCUGUCUGCAUUUGGAUUUGACCCAUUAUUACUACGCAUUGCACCUGCCAAGGCUGAUGGAGAAAAAAAAGAAAAGAGUUGUCUUGAGCAUGCUGCGAUUUUUGCUAUUUUGUGAAAUAGAGUGGGAAAAAAAAAACACCAAAAAACAGUAAGACGUAUUUCAACUCAACAUCGGUGCCCUGGUCAGGAGAACAGAGUCUUCCAUUCACGAGGCUGCUCCAGGCUUCCAGCUUUUUCUGCAGUCUUCCUGCAUGCUGAGGGCACCGGUUAAUGCCUGGGAUCCAGCUCUCUCUUCCUUCCUGCACGUAUUACAGGCAGAGACAGAUGGAAACUUGAAAUCGCUGGCCUCAGCUCCUGGAUCAGAUUAGCAUCUUUUGCUUCUUCCAGGGCAGCUGCGUUCUGCAAAACAGCAGCGUGCAUGUAUCUUGAUAUGUAACCCUAGAGCAAGGCUUCUAAAUAUACGAGGAGUUUCUUUGCUGCUGUGUGAAGGGGGUCGGCCGGGCGUUCAAACAGCACACGGUGUGCAUCUCAUCACACUGCACAGCAAAGAAAACACCACGAGGACAAUAAGAAAUGCUUGUCCCUGCGAGCAAACCUUGAACGUCAGCUCUGGCUCCUCAGCUUACGUGGUUGCAACCACAGCCCAUGAGCAUUGUGGCUCAUGGCUGUUGCUGUUGUGCCUGUAUCUAUGGGUACGUGCUCGCAGUACGAGCUGUGUUUUGCCUUCCAGCCUGGAGACAGAAUCCAUCCCAAAAUGAUGCAUCUGCUGGGCCAGUGAGCACACGUCUCCCUCUAGGCCUGUUUCCUGACCUGGACACUGACUUUGCCACUAUUUAAGAUGGAUUUUGCUCCUAAUUUGCAUCAGUAGGGAAGAGACGGUGCCACCGUCUGAGUUAGGCUUUACUUUGUACGCACUGUGCGCGUGUAGAUGCACAAGAGGAUGCAUUUGAAGUACUGCAUUCCCCAAAGCAAGUGAGAUUUAAAUGAAAGACAGGCACUGACUGGUACGGGACUAAGUUGGUAAGCCACAUCCUGCCGUGUGCAGGACAACCUGCAUGUCCACAGCUCUUCCAAGACUGAGCCCUGGGGCUCUCAUAGGCAGUACACAGGCAGGCCACCGAAGCUGUGCAGUGCCGUGUUGGAGGAGAGGUGCUGAGAAGGGAUGCUGUGUUCUGUCUACGAGUGAUUUUUAAGCACGCUCACCAUUUUCCACCUCCCAGACACGACGGCAUGUUCUGCACGCACCGCAGCGGCACGCCUUCCUUGAAAUGUGAGUGAGCCUUUACGGAGGCGGCCCAACCCGACUUCCUCUGCAGCCUGGCCAAAUGGGCUAUAUUCAGAAGUGGCCCAAAUGGAGGAGGGUGACAGGAGACGGAUCGCUCAGGCCAUAUAAAGGUGGAGGAACAAACCCGGGAGCCCAGGGUAGAAAGGAAGGUUACAGACAGAAAUUGAAUGAGGACGUGUCUGCAGUUUAUAUUUUCCUGUCCUGAGCCCCAGGAUAAAUUCUGCUGCUGCUACCAGCUGACUCACUUGUCCCUGUGGCACAGAAGCUACAAGAAGCACUUGCUCAUAUAUCCUUCAUAAUGUGAUCUGUGUCAUGUCUGAAUUUGAUCUACUAGCUCAUGACGGAGGAUGGCUCUUCUGUUUCUAUCAUGCCUUGCUGCAGGGCUGAGUCAGCUUCCACUGAGCUUGCAGCUACUUCUCUUUGGAUAACUAAGCUUGUGUCAUGCCUGAUAUCAGCGGAUUCAUCAAGGUUUUAAAAUGCACAGUCCGAGAUACUUGGCCACUACUCUUAUUUUUCAAAACAUUCUGGGUAAGAUAAGGGGAAGCUCCACUGAAAUUCAGGGAUGCACAACAGAGCAGGCUGUUGGGUGGCGGUGAACCAUGGCAGCCACAUGUCCAUGCAUCUCGACCGGGGUUCAUUGGGGCCUAAUUGCCUUUGGAUUUUAACCGACUGCAGUAGAUAAUCCAAACAGGUCAAAUGGGGUUUUGACUUAGAGCACUGGUGGCUGUAGCGUCCCUUCCUUGGGUUAGCUGAAGAAGGAUGGUAAGAGUGUAGACUGACUCAGUGGUAAAGAUGCCACUUCACUUGACUCCUCAGCCUGUACAGCACUGAGGAUGCGCUGUCAUGAUUGCCAGACAA
This is an RNA transcript of Numida meleagris (helmeted guineafowl), 5088 nucleotides long. It is a transcript of the gene named transmembrane protein 233, with no coding region annotated. The transcript has 3 exons. NCBI's taxonomy places the organism in Eukaryota, Metazoa, Chordata, Aves, Galliformes, Numididae. The record is from RefSeq and is a predicted model, not a curated record.